Long non-coding RNA from Pantherophis guttatus, 1236 nucleotides. RefSeq lists it as uncharacterized. NCBI's taxonomy places the organism in Eukaryota, Metazoa, Chordata, Lepidosauria, Squamata, Colubridae. The record is from RefSeq and is a predicted model, not a curated record.
GGGGCGACGGGAGCGGUUAGCGGGCCCCGCCUUUCUCUCAGCCUUGUCUAGUCGCGUGAGAGCGGCCGCCGAGGCCUUUUCCCUGGCUGGGUGAUGAGCGCCGCCUCGAAUGGCUUUGCCUGCUCCGUCCAUCUUGUGUGUUAGCUAAUUCGCCAUAGAGAGGGAGUGAGAAUCGCAGGUCGCUCCCGGCCGCUUUUGCACAGAGAAAAGCAAAGCAAAAAAAAAACCCCAAGGCUGGGAAUGCGAGAAAGGCGCAGGGCAUUCGUUUCGGUAACUUUUCAAAAAAAAAAAAAAAAAAAAGCAAAACGCGUUGCAGCCGCAACCGAACCAUUUGGAAAACAAAUAGGUUGGUUUGAUCCGCCUGUUUGUUUAUGUAACUGUAUCCUUGGUGGAUGUACGCUGAAGCCAUUAUUUUAGUAGCCGCCGCCUGUCUCGCAACACAAGCGUUCAGUGAAAGGAGAGCCGAAAUAAAAGAACUUAAAAGAUGCGAUGCCGUCGCUAUUUUAUAAUUUUAUGACCCGCUUUAGAAAAGAAAAAAAAACCCCAGCUUUAGCCCAUUUCUUCUGAAUUUACCAUAAACUUGAGCAGUCGCCUCGCACUGCCGUGGAAAGAUCAGAGUUAUUGAUUUCGACCUACUCCCACUAGAGAUCCCUUGUUUAGGAUAAUAACUUAAACCUGUUUCCCAGGAUGACAUACAUAAGAUGUUAAUGAAAAGAAGAACUGACAUGAUAGCAGUGUUCCAAUAUCUAAGGAGCUGCCACAAAGAAGAAAGAAUCAACCUAUUCUCCAAAGCACCUGAAGGCAAGAUAAAAAACAAUGGAUGGAAACUAAACAAGGAGAGAACCAAACUAGGACUAUGGAGAAAAUUUCCUGACAGAACAAUUAUUCAAUGGAAUGGCUUGUCUUCAAAAGUUGUGGGUGCUCCAAUACUGGAGAUUUUAAAGAAGAGAUUGGACACCAUUUCUCUGAAAUGGUAUAUGCUUGAACAGGGAGUUGGACUAGAAGAUCUCCACGGUCCCGUCCAACUCUGUUAUUCUGUUAAAACUGAUUUAGUACAAUCUCAUUGCUUUCCAUACUACUGGAAAGCCAUUAUUCUCUCUCCCCACCUUUUGUGGUCAUAGUAUUGGCAUACAGCUGGGUUUUAUUUUGGGGGGUGAGUUUUAAAAACUAAAUUAAUAGUCAAGCCUCUGGGUGGGUCACAACAGAUUAAAAAUAUAAAUUGAUACAAAAGACUUA